Molecule: ribosomal RNA, 404 nt
Filed under: uncultured bacterium
Lineage: Bacteria
Description: bacterial SSU rRNA
Rfam family: Bacterial small subunit ribosomal RNA
Source: RNAcentral
CGGGCUCAAACGUCGGCGUAAUGGAGGUGAAAGCCUCCAGCAAGCAAUUGACACCGACGAGGUGCUGCAUGGUUGUCGUCAGCUCGUGCCGUGAGGUGUCGGCUUAAGUGCCAUAACGAGCGCAACCCCUAUCGACAGUUGCCAUCAAGUUAAGUUGGGGACUCUGUCGAGACUGCCAGCGCAAGCUGCGAGGAAGGCGGGGAUGACGUCAAAUCAGCACGGCCCUUACGUCCGGGGCGACACACGUGUUACAAUGGCAGGUACAGCGGGAAGCCAUAUGGCGACAUAGAGCAGAACCCGAAAACCUGUCUCAGUUCGGAUUGGAGUCUGCAACCCGACUCCAUGAAGCUGGAUUCGCUAGUAAUCGCGCAUCAGCCACGGCGCGGUGAAUACGUUCCCGGGCC